CAAUAGCGUAUAUUUAAGUUGUUGCAGUUAAAAAGCUCGUAGUUGGAUUUCGGUUAAGAGCGACCGGUCCGCCGUUUGGUGUGCACUGGUUGGUUUUAACUUCCUGUAGAGGACGUGCUCUGGGUUUAACGACCUGGACUCGGAGUCUACGUGGUUACUUUGAAAAAAUUAGAGUGUUCAAAGCGGGCUUACGCUUGAAUAUUUCAGCAUGGAAUAACACUAUAGGACUCCUGUCCUAUUUCGUUGGUCUCGGGACGGGAGUAAUGAUUAAGAGGAACAGUUGGGGGCAUUCGUAUUCCAUUGUCAGAGGUGAAAUUCUUGGAUUUAUGAAAGACGAACUUCUGCGAAAGCAUUUGCCAAGGAUGUUUUCAUUA
This 374-nucleotide ribosomal RNA is filed under the name uncultured eukaryote. RNAcentral describes it as "partial 18S ribosomal RNA". It matches the Rfam family "Eukaryotic small subunit ribosomal RNA", at positions 592 to 975 of the family's 1831-position model. The record is from RNAcentral.